AACUAAGUUUGUUAUUGGUAUGAGCUUUCGUGUGCAUGCACAGGUAUCUGAAGAAGUGUGCAUGCACAUGAAAGCUCAUACCAAUAACAAACUUAGUUGG
Molecule: non-coding RNA, 100 nt
Organism: Podarcis lilfordi (Lilford's wall lizard)
Lineage: Eukaryota; Metazoa; Chordata; Lepidosauria; Squamata; Lacertidae
Source: the annotation of a GenBank genome assembly